UAAGACUUCAACUCAGCGACCUCAGAAA
This 28-nucleotide non-coding RNA is filed under the name Bombyx mori (domestic silkworm). Lineage: Eukaryota; Metazoa; Arthropoda; Insecta; Lepidoptera; Bombycidae. The record is from RNAcentral.